UAAGGGAUAUUGCGACAAUGGGCGAAAGCCUGACGCAGCAACGCCGCGUGCGGGAGGACGGCCUUCGGGUUGUAAACCGCUUUUCGAGGGGAAGAGGAAGGACGGUACCCUCGGAAUAAGUCUCGGCUAACUACGUGCCAGCAGCCGCGGUAAAACGUAGGAGGCGAGCGUUAUCCGGAUUUACUGGGUGUAAAGCGCGUGCAGGCGGCCGUGCAAGUCGUGCGUGAAAGCGCCCGGCUCAACCGGGCGAGGUCGUGCGAAACUGCGGGGCUUGAGGCAGGUAGAGGCGUGUGGAAUUCCGGGUGUAGUGGUGAAAUGCGUAGAGAUCCGGAGGAACACCAGUGGCGAAGGCGGCACGCUGGGCCUGGCCUGACGCUCAGACGCGAAAGCAUGGGGAGCGAACGGG
RNAcentral lists this ribosomal RNA (406 nucleotides) under uncultured bacterium. Its description in RNAcentral is "bacterial SSU rRNA". It matches the Rfam family "Bacterial small subunit ribosomal RNA", at positions 355 to 776 of the family's 1533-position model. The record is from RNAcentral.